This 774-nucleotide ribosomal RNA is filed under the name uncultured Neocallimastigales. RNAcentral describes it as "partial large subunit ribosomal RNA". It matches the Rfam family "Eukaryotic large subunit ribosomal RNA", at positions 24 to 646 of the family's 3401-position model. The record is from RNAcentral. Lineage: Eukaryota; Fungi; Neocallimastigomycota; Neocallimastigomycetes; Neocallimastigales.
UAUCUCUGUAGAGUCUGCAUAUCAAUAAGCGGAGGAAAAGAAACUAACUAGGAUUCCCUCAGUAACGGCGAGUGAAGCGGGAAGAGCUCAAAUUUGAAAUCUUCAAGGUUCUACCUUGACGAAUUGUAGUUUAAAGAAGUGUUUUCUGUUGGAGUUUUCGGUAAAAGUUCUUUGGAAUAGGACAUCAUAGAGGGUGAGAAUCCCGUAUUUGACCAUUAUUUCCAACUUUGUGAUACACUUUCAAAGAGUCGGAUUGUUUGGGAAUGCAGUCCAAAAUGGGUGGUAAAUUUCAUCUAAAGCUAAAUACUGGCGAGAGACCGAUAGCGAACAAGUACCGUGAGGGAAAGAUGAAAAGAACUUUGAAAAGAGAGUUAAACAGUACGUGAAAUUGUCAAAAGGGAAGCGUUUGACACCAGUGUUGUUUUUCCGAAAAUCAAUUACGAAUGUUUUGUUUUUGAGAAGUUAUGACUUCAUCGGCUUGCUUCUUUCUUUACGAAACUUUCUUAAUGCACUUUUCGGUUAACAAGUCAACAUCAAUUUCUUUUGUUGUAAAAGGGUACGAGGAAGGUGGCUUUCUUUUCGGAGAAAGUGUUUAUAGCCUUGUGCCUCUGCAAUCGGAGAGAUUGAGGUCUGCAGCGUAGAUCCUUCGGGGUUAGAUACAUUUGUGCUAGUUAUAGCUUUUCAUAGACAACUUGUUGACUAUGUUUAGUCUUGUAGCUUACUCGCUUAUGCUAUUUUACCUACGCUUAGGAUGUUGAUGUGAUACUGCGAGCA